RNAcentral lists this ribosomal RNA (434 nucleotides) under uncultured Lachnospiraceae bacterium. Its description in RNAcentral is "partial 16S ribosomal RNA". It matches the Rfam family "Bacterial small subunit ribosomal RNA", at positions 341 to 792 of the family's 1533-position model. The record is from RNAcentral. Lineage: Bacteria; Bacillati; Bacillota; Clostridia; Lachnospirales; Lachnospiraceae.
ACGGAAGGCAGCAGUGGGGAAUAUUGCACAAUGGGCGAAAGCCUGAUGCAGCGACGCCGCGUGAACGAAGAAGUAUUUCGGUAUGUAAAGUUCUAUCAGCAGGGAAGAUAAUGACGGUACCUGACUAAGAAGCACCGGCUAAAUACGUGCCAGCAGCCGCGGUAAUACGUAUGGUGCAAGCGUUAUCCGGAUUUACUGGGUGUAAAGGGAGCGUAGGCGGUAUGCUAAGUCUGAUGUGAAAGCCCGAGGCUCAACCUCGGUAUUGCAUUGGAAACUGGUAAACUAGAGUGUCGGAGGGGUAAGUGGAAUUCCUAGUGUAGCGGUGAAAUGCGUAGAUAUUAGGAGGAACACCAGUGGCGAAGGCGGCUUACUGGACGAUAACUGACGCUGAGGCUCGAAAGCGUGGGGAGCAAACAGGAUUAGAUACCCUGGUA